GUCUAUUCUGCUCCCAGUGCCAAUGUUCCCUGCAGAACUCUUGUUACUUCAGAGAAAACAAACUCUUCUGCCGGAUGGAUUACGAAAGGAUAUUUGGUGUAAAAUGUGACCGGUGUGGAAUAGUGCUCUCCCCUCAUCAUAUUAUUAUUCUAGGAUAUUUGGUGUAAAAUGUGACCGGUGUGGAAUAGUGCUCUCCCCUCAUCAUAUUAUUAUUCUAGGAUAUUUGGUGUAAAAUGUGACCGGUGUGGAAUAGUGCUCUCCCCUCAUGAUAUUA
Long non-coding RNA from Eurytemora carolleeae, 274 nucleotides. RefSeq lists it as uncharacterized. Lineage: Eukaryota; Metazoa; Arthropoda; Copepoda; Calanoida; Temoridae. The record is from RefSeq and is a predicted model, not a curated record. The transcript is spliced from 3 exons.